GCCGGGCGUGGUGGCGGGCACCUGUAAUCCCAGCUACUUGGGAGGCUGAGGCGGGAGAAUCGCUUGAACCCGGGAGGCAGAGGUUGCAGUGAGCCAAGAUCACGCCACUGCACUCCAGCCUGGGUGACAAAGUGAGACCCUGUCUCAA
This 148-nucleotide signal recognition particle RNA is filed under the name Pan troglodytes (chimpanzee). RNAcentral describes it as "Metazoan signal recognition particle RNA". It matches the Rfam family "Metazoan signal recognition particle RNA". From Rfam's summary of the family: The signal recognition particle (SRP) is a universally conserved ribonucleoprotein. It is involved in the co-translational targeting of proteins to membranes. The record is from Rfam by way of RNAcentral. Lineage: Eukaryota; Metazoa; Chordata; Mammalia; Primates; Hominidae.